AUGAUAAUCAUAUAUAUGAAAGUUGGCCAACUCUCUCCCUAUGAGUGACACAUCAUCACACAAGAAAAUGACAUGUGUCAUUCUAUAUUAAUUAAAUAAAAAAUUAAUACAAUUAAUUGAG
This 121-nucleotide small RNA is filed under the name Arabidopsis thaliana (thale cress). RNAcentral's name for it is "ATSL262080". The record is from RNAcentral. Lineage: Eukaryota; Viridiplantae; Streptophyta; Magnoliopsida; Brassicales; Brassicaceae.